CCUACGGGAGGCAGCAGUGAGGAAUAUUGGUCAAUGUACGAGAGUCUGAACCAGCAAAGUAGCGUGAAGGAUGACUGCCCUAUGGGUUGUAAACUUCUUUUAUAUGGGAAUAAACUGUUCCACGUGUGGGAUUUUGUAUGUACCAUAUGAAUAAGGAUCGGCUAACUCCGUGCCAGCAGACGCGGUAAUAAGGAGGAUCCGUGAGUUAUCCGGAUGUAUUGGGUUUAAAGGGAGCGUAGGUGGAUUGUUAAGUCAGUUAUGAAAGUUUGCGGCGCAACCGUAAAAUUGCAGUUGAAACUGGCAGUCUUGAGUACAGUAGAGGUGGGCGGAAUUCGUGGUGUAGCGGUGAAAUGCUUAGAUAUCACGAAGAACUCCGAUUGCGAAGGCAGCUCACUGGACUGCAACUGACACUGAGGCUCGAAAGUGUGGGUAUCAAACAGGAUUAGAUACCCUUGUAGUC
This 460-nucleotide ribosomal RNA is filed under the name uncultured bacterium. RNAcentral's name for it is "partial 16S ribosomal RNA". It matches the Rfam family "Bacterial small subunit ribosomal RNA", at positions 338 to 795 of the family's 1533-position model. The record is from RNAcentral.